Dioscorea cayenensis subsp. rotundata (Guinea yam) is the source of this 543-nucleotide long non-coding RNA. RefSeq lists it as uncharacterized. Lineage: Eukaryota; Viridiplantae; Streptophyta; Magnoliopsida; Dioscoreales; Dioscoreaceae. The record is from RefSeq and is a predicted model, not a curated record. The transcript has 3 exons.
CAUACCAACGCCAGCUUUAAUCAAGCCUGUUGAACUUUGGAAUGGAAAGCAGCUAUUCAGUGUUCUUGUACGGCCUAAUGCAAAUACAAGAGUCUAUUUGAAUUUUACUGUCAAAGAAAAAAUCUUCAGUAAACCUGAUAGAGUUUGCCUGACAAUGUAUCCACGAGAUGGCUAUGUCUAUUUUCGGAACAGUGAACUCAUAUGUGGGCAACUUGGGAAAGCUACCCUAGAAGUCCAUGUUAGUGCAUCCAAGAACCUGAAAUUUGGAGGAUGCUUGCAAGUUGCUAAAGAAAUUGGAAAGAGGAAUUAAUGAGUGGAUGUGGCUACCUUCCAGCGGUGCUUCAGUGGGAACUUUGCAGUUUGAGCUAAUGAUAUUGGCUGAGCUGCAGUAUCAUGUUGGUAAAUAUUUAUUCUGGUCAUUUUCAGUAAUGUUUAGAUUAAUAUGAAGUUGUUUCUAGCUGAUGUUUAUUGCCAAAAUGUUAGUAAUUUAAAGGGAUGACUUUGGGAGGCAUUUAGUAAACAUCAUCAAAUGUUGCCGCAGUU